RNAcentral lists this ribosomal RNA (497 nucleotides) under uncultured bacterium. Its description in RNAcentral is "partial 16S ribosomal RNA". It matches the Rfam family "Bacterial small subunit ribosomal RNA", at positions 28 to 507 of the family's 1533-position model. The record is from RNAcentral.
GAUGAACGCUGGCGGCGUGCCUAAUACAUGCAAGUCGAGCGAACGGACGAGAAGCUUGCUUCUCUGAUGUUAGCGGCGGACGGGUGAGUAACACGUGGAUAACCUACCUAUAAGACUGGGAUAACUUCGGGAAACCGUAGCUAAUACCGGAUAAUAUUUUGAACCGCAUGGUUCAAAAGUGAAAGACGGUCUUGCUGUCACUUAUAGAUGGAUCCGCGCUGCACUAUCUAGUUGGUAAGGUAACGGCUUACCAAGGCAACGAUGCAUAGCCGACCUGAGAGGGUGAUCGGCCACACUGGAACUGAGACACGGUCCAGACUCCUACGGGAGGCAGCAGUAGGGAAUCUUCCGCAAUGGGCGAAAGCCUGACGGAGCAACGCCGCGUGAGUGAUGAAGGUCUUCGGAUCGUAAAACUCUGUUAUUAGGGAAGAACAUAUGUGUAAGUAACUGUGCACAUCUUGACGGUACCUAAUCAGAAAGCCACGGCUAACUACGUG